GUAUAAGCCCUUCGGGGGAAAGAUUUAUCGGGAAAGGAUUGGCCCGCGUUAGAUUAGAUAGUUGGUGGGGUAAUGGCCUACCAAGUCUACGAUCUAUAGCUGGUUUUAGAGGAUGAUCAGCAACACUGGGACUGAGACACGGCCCAGACUCCUACGGGAGGCAGCAGUGGGGAAUCUUAGACAAUGGGCGCAAGCCUGAUCUAGCCAUGCCGCGUGUGUGAUGAAGGUCUUAGGAUCGUAAAGCACUUUCGCCAGGGAUGAUAAUGACAGUACCUGGUAAAGAAACCCCGGCUAACUCCGUGCCAGCAGCCGCGGUAAUACGGAGGGGGUUAGCGUUGUUCGGAAUUACUGGGCGUAAAGCGUACGUAGGCGGAUCAGAAAGUAGGGGGUGAAAUCCCAGGGCUCAACCCUGGAACUGCCUCCUAAACUCCUGGUCUUGAGUUCGAGAGAGGUGAGUGGAAUUCCAAGUGUAGAGGUGAAAUUCGUAGAUAUUUGGAGGAACACCAGUGGCGAAGGCGGCUCACUGGCUCGAUACUGACGCUGAGGUACGAAAGUGUGGGGAGCAAACAGGAUUAGAUACCCUGGUAGUCCACACCGUAAACGAUGAAUGCCAGUCGUCGGGCAGUAUACUGUUCGGUGACACACCUAACGGAUUAAGCAUCCGC
Molecule: ribosomal RNA, 665 nt
Filed under: uncultured Sulfitobacter sp.
Lineage: Bacteria; Pseudomonadati; Pseudomonadota; Alphaproteobacteria; Rhodobacterales; Roseobacteraceae
Description: bacterial SSU rRNA
Rfam family: Bacterial small subunit ribosomal RNA
Source: RNAcentral